UGGCGGGCCUCUCGUCUCCUUCCUGGUUUGGGCGGAAGCCAUCACCUGGAUGCCUACGUGGGAAGGGACCUCGAAUGUGGGACCCCAGCCCCUCUCCAGCUCGAAAUCGCACGGUGCUCGAUCCCCAAUGGAAGGAAAUGGAGGCAGACCCAUCUUGCAGGUCAUCACCAGGAAGGAGAUGAGACUCAUGUCCUGGAGACGAAUACCCCACUGGAGGUGGCGUGAAGGGGAGAUGGCUGCUUUCUCCUGGGAAGGGAGCAGAUGCCUGGCCCAGGACCAAAUCAAAAGCUGAGGCUCACUGCCCCCAGUGGGCAGUGGGUCCAGGGGGUUUCUGAGGACAGGGCAUGACCCAGCCCUGCUGCCCCCAAGAUGGCACCUGGCUUGGAGGGGUGAGGGGCCCUGUUAGUCUGACUUUGAAGAAGACCAGCCUUCCAGACUCGCUUGGUGCCCUGACAGCAGCUUGUGUUUCUUCCUUCAAGAGUCUGCUUAGAGAUAAUAAAGAUCAACACUAUUCCUUAUAACAACACCUCAGUAUCCUGCGAGCUGUACACACCAGAGUUUAUUUAACCACCUUGCUGCUGGCAUGAAAGCCUCAGGAGCCCUGGGCUCCCCCAGUGUUGCCUGGGUCUGACUUUGCCUCAGUGAAAACUGCCUCGAAUUCUUUCUUGCACCGAUGGGCAGAUGGGCAGUGUCGGAGGAUCGUGUCAUCUGUCCCGUGGCGCUGGUUGGCUUGGUCAAGUCAGUGUUCAAACUAUCUCCUGCUCUUUCAAGGGGAUCUGGGGCUCUAGAAGAUUAGAGGACUUGGAGAGGUUAGUGACUUGCUCGAGGUCGGCUAGGAAGCAAGACCCAGGAUUCCAACUCAGGUCUGUGUGAUUCCUCUGCAAAAUGGAGAGGUGGAAGGAUGGAUGUCAGGUCUGAUGGAUGGAUGGAUGCCUACAUCAAGAUACAUGCAUAGAUGGAGAGAUGGCUGGCUACCUCAUGAAUGCUGGACUGUUGUGAGAAUCAAACGAGAUAAUGUAUGCUGAGGCAUGCUGUGAACACUACGUGCUGGGUACAGGAGAAUGGAGGCUCCAGAGUGAAAUUAAUGACACUUUGUCGAUGAAGAUCUUGAUUGUGACCUCUGUGGAAAAUGAGCCAUGAACCAACCAAUGAUAAGUCUACUUUUCUUCCACGUAACAACCACAGGAUAGAUGACAUUCAUUUUCUAAGAAACAAAAUCUUGGCAGUUAGAUCCGUGGGGUAAAGAAUAUAGAUACUAAUCCUGAGAGAAUAUGGAAGACACUGUCAGUGUUGGAAGAUGGUGGUUUUAUCACUUUUCAUUGCACUGUCUUUAAAACAUGGGCAAAUUGACUAAAAGAAGACUACAGAAGAAAUAAUGGUGAUUGUGAAUUUGAAUGAAAACCAUGUAGCUGGUCUUAUUAUUCUCUAAUCAUGAAGACCAUUAUUGUUAUUUGUGGACUAAGGAGCAGAAAGACUGAUAGUGGACAUAGGCCAGCUGAUUUAAUAAUUUAAGAAAGAACUGUUAUCCUGAGUAAGGAGCAUAGAGACAAAUAUAAAAUGAACGCACUCUACCUGAUUUAAUUAUAGUCUUCUGGUGAAGAUCUUGCUGUUAUCUCUGUGAAUCAGGAGAGAAGAGAUUGAUAAGGAAUAGACGAGAUUGGAUUUGGUCAUUUCCCCAAGGUGAAGAGCAUGGCGAUUUCUUCUGUGAAUGAAGACCAUGGUUGAUUUAAUCAGUCUCUGCUGAUGAAGAUCUUGGCUGUUACCUUUGUGUGUAAGGAAGCUAAAGACUUAAGUAAAUAACAGUCCAAAAACUUGUCAAUUAGGAAUGAAUGCGCAAUGAUUCAAUUAUUCUCCAGCGAGGAAGAUCAUGGUUGUUGUCUGUUUGAGUAAUGAGUGUAGAAACCUAUGUAAGUAACAAAGUGAUUGCUUUUGCUUUAGUGGUUGUUAAGAGAGUUAAGUCUUUCUGGAAAGGAAUAAAUGACUAU
Molecule: long non-coding RNA, 1985 nt
Organism: Homo sapiens (human)
Lineage: Eukaryota; Metazoa; Chordata; Mammalia; Primates; Hominidae
Gene: MIR493HG
Product: MIR493 cluster host gene
Source: Ensembl